This is a long non-coding RNA of Pogoniulus pusillus (Red-fronted tinkerbird), 2129 nucleotides long. RefSeq lists it as uncharacterized. The transcript has 2 exons. Lineage: Eukaryota; Metazoa; Chordata; Aves; Piciformes; Lybiidae. The record is from RefSeq and is a predicted model, not a curated record.
UUUCCACCCCACCCAUGCCAUUUCUCCCCAGAUCCAGAGCACCUGGGCUCUGCUGGAGUCCCCUCCCACCUCAGGUGUGGCCACUUGGCCCUCUCUGCCCACUCCUUUUUAAUCUGCUGCAGGCAACACAGAAGCCUCAAGCUGUGCCCAGCGGGGCAGAGGGAUUCUCCUCCUGUCAUCACUGUUCAACUGAUUGGACCACCAAACUGCUGCACAGUCAAGACCUCCAGUGGCUGGAGGUCUUCUCAGCCCUCUGAAUGCCUGCUGCCUCAAAGCUGGGACCUCAGGCUCAGAAGAUAUACCUCUACUAUGAGCAAAAAGGCUCCAUGCUGUUUUGCUCCAGAACAAGCCUUGCUGCGUGCACUGCUCGGAGGGAGGCACCUUUUGUUCAGUAUGGUGGAAAGCAAUCUAAGCAGACAUCAGAAAGGGCACAGUGCUGAAGAGCAGCCUCUGAAAAGCUCACCUGCACUGACUGUGACGUGGGUUGGGUUUUCCAUAUGCUGGCAAUUAAUCAGUAUUUCAUGCAGUAUAACUGUAAUUGCCUCACCGAUGCACAACACAGAUUAUUGAAUAUAGGCAUUUCUCUGCCAGAUCAGACUGAAAUCAACUUUGGUUUGUGAUAAUUGUGACACUGUACUUGCUACCCAGGGAAGUGGCAGGCACCAACAGUGCUGCUCUCUCAUUACAUUAUACUUCUGGUCUUUCCCACAAAGGCCUGGCUGUCUCUUAGGAAUUACUUUUUAAUCAUCUACCCUCAUUACUUGUAGUGUUUGCUCCUUUGUCAUUUUACAGCACGAGGCCAGAAAGAAGACAAUUAAAAUUCAAUGAUGGUGCUGGUGCGGUGCUUAGACACUCAUUGAGUAAUCAUUAGGUAGUAUGGGGACUCACUGUCUUCAUGAGAGUUCAUUUCUGCUUUCUCCAUGAAUCUGCUCAUCAGUGCUAGCUUGAAACAGGCCCAAAGUGAGCUGGUGAGGUUCCUGGCCCUGACUCCAGUGCUCCACUGCCUCCUGGACAACCCAGCACCUCAGACACAGCAGACCCAUCCCCUGGGGUUCCUCCAGCAGCACAUGGGGAUGCCCAGGCCUGGGGCUGCCCCUGGCAGUGAUUCCUGUCCUACUGGUGUGAUAGGAGGACCACGUCAAUGCCCUUACUUGUGCUAGCUUGAAUAGCAGCCCCUCCCAGGAACACAGCACCAGCUGCCAAGACAGCUCAUAGAGAGAUGUGCUCCUUAGCAUGAAUGAUCUGCAAAACCAGGCCUCUGGGGAGCCAGCAGCAUCUGCUGUCAGCAUCAAGAGCCAAAUUUCUGCUGAAGGAGCAUUCAAGCCAAGCAAGCUUCAUUUUGAUGUGGGGAGAAACAUCACUGGCACAGACAGGACUAUGCCACUGGUUGUUAGAUGCACAAAGGCAUCAGUAAAACAAUGCUCACACUCAAAAUUCUUACCACACCAGAGAAGUGGCCUCUGGACAAUGAAUAACAGCAUAUGUUCUCUAGACUUUGAGCAGUGAGGUUGUUUGCAUUCUGCCCUUGAGGAGGUGGGGAGGAGAGAGGACAAGCCAAGACAAAUGAGGCAGCUCAAGCUAGGAAGGCUCCACAGCAGCUCUAAGGAGCAUCUAGCUGGAGCUCACGGGGAGCAGAGGUAAAAGGCCCAAUGCAUUAUUUAAGACUACUCACACUGCUGACCUGUUACAGGUGCAGAUCAAUACAGUGGCCUCUGUCAGAAAAAAACUUCAAUAUGAAAAAAAAAACAACCCAGAAUUCAUAUUAGAGAUGCUGAGGGGAAAUAAUACAGCCUAAGGGAGUAUCUGCAUGCCCUGGUACAGUAAUGCAGUCUCUGGGGGUCAGCAGACAGAAGUGUGUGUGUGGGAGCAAUCUGCAGAUCCCCAGAGUGUUUGUGGCUCUCCUGUCACCUCCGAGGCAGAAAGCUCUGGCCCAGAAUCCCCUCACAGUCCAUCACCUGCACCCUUGUCAGACUGAGGCUUCAUGAAAUAAUGAGUCUCUGCAUUAAAGCUCCUGUCACCUCUCACUAACUGUGGCAUUAUUCUUCAUGCCUUGGCUUUCCCCAAGCUGUGCUGACUGCCUGGCAUGGAGUUGGGUGAGGAGUGUUCUGUUUUGUAGGCUGCCUGCCACG